Molecule: ribosomal RNA, 2689 nt
Filed under: Brevibacillus borstelensis
Lineage: Bacteria; Bacillati; Bacillota; Bacilli; Caryophanales; Paenibacillaceae
Description: bacterial LSU rRNA
Rfam family: Bacterial large subunit ribosomal RNA
Source: RNAcentral
GCACGGGAUUUCCGUGUCCCGGUGUGAAUCUGGCCAGGACCAUCUGCUAAGGGCUAAAUUACCUAGCGACCGAUGUGAACCCAGUACCGUGAGGGGAAAGGUGAAAAGCACCCCCGGGGAGGGGAGUGAAAUAGUACCUGAAACCGUGUGCUUACAAAUAGUCCGGAGCCCUUUAAAUGGGUGAACGGCGUGCCUUUUGUAGAAUUGAACCGGCGAGUUACCGGUAGCGUGCGAGGUUUAAGUCGGAAGAGACGGAGCCGCAGCGAAAGCGAGUCUGAAUAGGGCGCAAGUACGUUGCCGUAGACCCGAAACCGCGUGUGAUCUAGCCAUGUCCAGGGUGAAGGUAGGGUAACACCUACUGGAGGCCCGAACCCACGCACUUGAAAAGUGCGGGGAUGAAGGUGUGGCUAGCGGUGGAAAUUCCAAUUCGAACUCCGGAGAUAGCUGGUUCUCCCCGGAAUUAGCCUUUAAGGGCUAGGCCUCGGGAAUGGAAGAGUCCUUGGAAGUUAGAGCACUGUUUGGGAAAUAGCUUUAGGGCUAGCCUCGGAAUGAAGAGUCUUGGAGGUAGAGCACUGAUUGGGCUAGGGGCCCUCAUCCGGGGUUACCGAACCUCAGUCAAACUCCGAAUGCCAAUGAGACCUUUUGUGUUCCCGGAGUCAGACGAUGAGUGCUAAGAUCCAUCGUAAAAAGGGAAACAGGCCCAGACCAUCAGCUAAGGUCCCCAAGUGUAUGUUAAGUGGGAAACGAUGUGGAGUGCCCAGACAACCAGGAUGUUGGCCUUAGGAAGCAGGCCAACAAUUAAAAAGUGCCUUAAUAGCUCAAUUUGGUCGAGGUGGACUCUGCGCGAGAAAAAUGUAACCGGGGCUAAACAUACCACCGAAGCUAUGGGCAGUCCUUACGGACUGGGUAAGGGAAGCGUUCCAAGCAGCAGUGAAGCCGUACCGGAAGGAGCCGUUGGAGCGCUUGGAAGUGAGAAUGCCGGUGAAAUAGCGAAAAGACCAAGUGAGGAAUCUUGUUCAACCCAAAAGCCUUAGGUUUCCUGGGGAAGGCUCGUCCUCCCAGGGUUAGUCGGGACCUAAGCUGAGGCCGAAAGGGUUUCCUGGGGAAGGCUCGUCCUUCCAAGGGUUAGUCGGGACCUAAGCUGAAGGCCGAAAGGCGUAGGCGAUGGACAACAGGUUGAUAUUCCCUGUAACCACCUCUGUUCCGCCUUGAGCAAUGGCGUGACGCAGGAGGAUAGGGUGACCGGGGCCUACUGGAUGGCCGUCCAAGCAGUAAGCCUGGUGUGUAGGCAAAUCCGCACACUGUUAAGGGCAAGCUGUGAUGGCGAGGGAAACAUAAGUACCGAAGUUCCCUGAUUUCACACUGCCAAGGAAAGGCGUCUAGCGAGGAACAAGGUGCCCGUACCGAAAACGAGACACAGGGUAGGCGAGGAGAGAAUCCUAAGGUGCGCGGGAUAACUCUUGCUAAGGAACUCGGCAAAAUGGCCCCGUAACUUCGGGAGAAGGGGCGCCCCGGUAGGGUUAAUAGCCCGAGGGGGCCGCAGUGAAAAGGCCCAAGCGACUGUUUAGCAAAAACACAGGUCUCUGCGAAGCCGCAAGGCGAAGUAUAGGGGCUGACGCCUGCCCGGUGCUGGAAGGUUAAGGGGAUGGGUUAGCGCAAGCGAAGCUUUGAACCGAAGCCCCAGUAAACGGCGGCCGUAACAAUAACGGUCCUAAGGUAGCGAAAUUCCUUGUCGGGUAAGUUCCGACCCGCACGAAAGGCGUAACGACUUGGGCGCUGUCUCGGCAAGAGACCCGGUGAAAUCAUAAUACCUGUGAAGAUGCAGGUUACCCGCGACAAGACGGAAAGACCCCAUGGAGCCUUUACUGUAGCCUGGUAUUGGAACUUUGUGCAUCAUGUACAGGAUAGGUGGGAAGCUGAGAAGCAGGGGCGCCAGCCUCUGUGGAGCUGUCGGUGGGAUACCACCCUUGAUGUACGGAGUUUCUAACUCGUCGCCCUUAUCGGGCGAGAGGACCAUGCCAGGUGGGCAGUUUGACUGGGGCGGUCGCCUCCUAAAAGGUAACGGAGGCGCCCAAAGGUUCCCUCAGAAUGGUCGGAAAUCAUUCGUAGAGUGUAAAGGCAGAAGGGAGCUUGACUGCGAGACCUACAAGUCGAGCAGGGACGAAAGUCGGGCUUAGUGAUCCGGUGGUUCCGCAUGGAAGGGCCAUCGCUCAACGGAUAAAAGCUACCCUGGGGAUAACAGGCUUAUCUCCCCCAAGAGUCCACAUCGACGGGGAGGUUUGGCACCUCGAUGUCGGCUCAUCGCAUCCUGGGGCUGAAGUAGGUCCCAAGGGUUGGGCUGUUCGCCCAUUAAAGCGGUACGCGAGCUGGGUUCAGAACGUCGUGAGACAGGUUCGGUCCCUAUCUGUCGCGGGCGCAGGAAGUUUGAGGAGAGCUGUCCUUAGUACGAGAGGACCGGGAUGGACGCACCGCUGGUGCACCAGUUGUCACGCCAGUGGCACAGCUGGGUAGCUAUGUGCGGAAGGGAUAAGCGCUGAAAGCAUCUAAGCGUGAAGCCCCCUCCAAGAUGAGACUUCCCACAGCGUUAAGCUGGUAAGACCCCUCAUAGACGAUGAGGUUGAUAGGUUCGGUGUGGAAGCGCGGCAACGCGUGGAGCUGACGAAUACUAAUCGGUCGAGGACUUAUCCAC